UGGGAAUCUUCCGCAAUGGGCGAAAGCCUGACGGAGCAACGCCGCGUGAGUGAAGAAGGUCUUCGGAUCGUAAAACUCUGUUAUUAGGGAAGAACAAAUGUCUAAGUAACUAUGCACGUCUUGACGGUACCUAAUCAGAAAGCCACGGCUAACUACGUGCCAGCAGCCGCGGUAAUACGCAGGCGGCAAGCGUUACCCGGAAUUACUGGGCGUAAAGCGCGCGUAGGCGGUUUUUUAAGGCUGAUGUGAAAGCCCACGGCUCAACCGUGGAGGGUCAUUGGAUACUGGUAAACUUGAAUGCAGAAGAGGAGAGUGGCAUUCCAUGUGUAGCGGUGAAAUGCGCAGAGAUAUGGAGGAACACCAGUGGCGAAGGCGACUUUCUGGUCAGAAAAUGACGCUGAUGUGCGAAAGCGUGGGGAUCAAACAGG
RNAcentral lists this ribosomal RNA (428 nucleotides) under Actinomycetes bacterium. Its description in RNAcentral is "Actinobacteria bacterium partial 16S ribosomal RNA". It matches the Rfam family "Bacterial small subunit ribosomal RNA", at positions 356 to 776 of the family's 1533-position model. Lineage: Bacteria; Bacillati; Actinomycetota; Actinomycetes. The record is from RNAcentral.